RNAcentral lists this transfer RNA (66 nucleotides) under Typhlatya arfeae. Its description in RNAcentral is "tRNA-Leu". Lineage: Eukaryota; Metazoa; Arthropoda; Malacostraca; Decapoda; Atyidae. The record is from RNAcentral.
UCUAGAAUGGCAGACCAUUGCAUGGGAUUUAAGCUCCCAACAGGAAGAAUUAUUCUUCUUCUAGAA